RNAcentral lists this ribosomal RNA (402 nucleotides) under uncultured bacterium. RNAcentral's name for it is "bacterial SSU rRNA". It matches the Rfam family "Bacterial small subunit ribosomal RNA", at positions 355 to 774 of the family's 1533-position model. The record is from RNAcentral.
UGGGGAAUAUUGGACAAUGGGGGAAACCCUGAUCCAGCAAUGCCGCGUGAGUGAAGAAGGCCUUAGGGUUGUAAAGCUCUUUCGCCCGCGAAGAUAAUGACGGUAGCGGGAGAAGAAGCCCCGGCUAACUCCGUGCCAGCAGCCGCGGUAAUACGGAGGGGGCUAGCGUUGUUCGGAAUUACUGGGCGUAAAGCGUACGUAGGCGGAUGCGCAAGUUGGGGGUGAAAUCCCGGGGCUUAACCUCGGAAUUGCCCUCAAAACUGCACGUCUUGAGACCGAGAGAGGUAAGGGGAAUUCCUAGUGUAGAGGUAAAAUUCGUAGAUAUUAGGAAGAACACCAGUGGCGAAGGCGCCUUACUGGCUCGGUACUGACGCUGAGGUACGAAAGCGUGGGGAGCAAACA